CAGUAGCCGCGGUAAUACGUAGGUGGCAAGCGUUGUCCGGAAUUAUUGGGCGUAAAGGGCUCGCAGGCGGUUUCUUAAGUCUGAUGUGAAAGCCCCCGGCUCAACCGGGGAGGGUCAUUGGAAACUGGGAAACUUGAGUGCAGAAGAGGAGAGUGGAAUUCCACGUGUAGCGGUGAAAUGCGUAAAGAUAUGGAGGAACACCAGUGGCGAAGGCGACUCUCUGGUCUGUAACUGACGCUGAGGAGCGAAAGCGUGGGGAGCGAACAGGAUUAGAUACCCCAGUAGUCCCUGUCUCUUAUAA
RNAcentral lists this ribosomal RNA (301 nucleotides) under uncultured bacterium. Its description in RNAcentral is "partial 16S ribosomal RNA". It matches the Rfam family "Bacterial small subunit ribosomal RNA", at positions 509 to 809 of the family's 1533-position model. The record is from RNAcentral.